CAGGCCUAACACAUGCAAGUCGAGCGGACCAUUCCUUCGGGGAUGGUUAGCGGCGGACGGGUGAGUAACACGUAGGCAACCUGCCUGUAAGAUCGGGAUAACUACCGGAAAUGGUAGCUAAGACCGGAUAGCUGGUUUCUCCGCAUGGGGGAAUCAUGAAACACGGGGCAACCUGUGGCUUACGGAUGGGCCUGCGGCGCAUUAGCUAGUUGGUGGGGUAACGGCCCACCAAGGCGACGAUGCGUAGCCGACCUGAGAGGGUGAUCGGCCACACUGGGACUGAGACACGGCCCAGACUCCUACGGGAGGCAGCAGUAGGGAAUCUUCCGCAAUGGGCGCAAGCCUGACGGAGCAACGCCGCGUGAGUGAUGAAGGUUUUCGGAUCGUAAAGCUCUGUUGCCAAGGAAGAACGCCUCGGAGAGUAACUGCUCUGAGGGUGACGGUACUUGAGAAGAAAGCCCCGGCUAACUACGUGCCAGCAGCCGCGGUAAUACGUAGGGGGCAAGCGCUGUCCGGAAUUAUUGGGCGUAAAGCGCGCGCAGGCGGUCUUUUAAGUUUGGUGUUUAAGCCCGGGGCUCAACCCCGGUUCGCACUGAAAACUGGGAGACUUGAGUGCAGGAGAGGAAAGCGGAAUUCCACGUGUAGCGGUGAAAUGCGUAGAGAUGUGGAGGAACACCAGUGGCGAAGGCGGCUUUCUGGACUGUAACUGACGCUGAGGCGCGAAAGCGUGGGGAGCAAACAGGAUUAGAU
Molecule: ribosomal RNA, 750 nt
Filed under: uncultured bacterium
Lineage: Bacteria
Description: bacterial SSU rRNA
Rfam family: Bacterial small subunit ribosomal RNA
Source: RNAcentral